GGCGAUUGGCGAUUCAGAACAACGAAGAACAUAGAAGAAGAAGAUCGAUCAGAUUCAAGGUUCAUCUAGCGAGGAGUCCGAUGGUUCCCAUGACCAACAACCACUUGCGCAUCAAUUGAAAAUAGCACUUGAGCAGAGAGAUAUGGUUCAAGAGGAGCUGGAUGAUCUCCAAGCAAUUUUUUUUUUUAAGCUUUAGGAUGAUGGACCUUGUAACCUUGUAAUGAGUAAAACUUGGUUAUUUCUAAUGCUAUGGACCUUGUGACCUUGUAAUGAGCAAAACUUGGUUAUUUCUCAUUGCUAAUGUUAUGGUUGAUGGACAAAUUAUCAAUUUGGUAUA
Long non-coding RNA from Rhododendron vialii, 337 nucleotides. RefSeq lists it as uncharacterized. NCBI's taxonomy places the organism in Eukaryota, Viridiplantae, Streptophyta, Magnoliopsida, Ericales, Ericaceae. The record is from RefSeq and is a predicted model, not a curated record. The transcript is spliced from 2 exons.